AGUUUGAUCCUGGCUCAGGACGAACGCUGGCGGCGUGCUUAACACAUGCAAGUCGAACGGAAAGGCCCUUCGGGGUACUCGAGUGGCGAACGGGUGAGUAACACGUGGGUGAUCUGCCCUGCACUCUGGGAUAAGCCUGGGAAACUGGGUCUAAUACCGGAUAGGACCGCAUGCUUCAUGGUGUGUGGUGCAAAGCUUUUGCGGUGUGGGAUGAGCCCGCGGCCUAUCAGCUUGUUGGUGGGGUAAUGGCCUACCAAGGCGACGACGGGUAGCCGGCCUGAGAGGGUGACCGGCCACACUGGGACUGAGAUACGGCCCAGACUCCUACGGGAGGCAGCAGUGGGGAAUAUUGCACAAUGGGCGCAAGCCUGAUGCAGCGACGCCGCGUGAGGGAUGACGGCCUUCGGGUUGUAAACCUCUUUCAGUAGGGACGAAGCGAAAGUGACGGUACCUACAGAAGAAGGACCGGCCAACUACGUGCCAGCAGCCGCGGUAAUACGUAGGGUCCGAGCGUUGUCCGGAAUUACUGGGCGUAAAGAGCUCGUAGGUGGUUUGUCGCGUUGUUCGUGAAAACUCACAGCUUAACUGUGGGCGUGCGGGCGAUACGGGCAGACUAGAGUACUGCAGGGGAGACUGGAAUUCCUGGUGUAGCGGUGGAAUGCGCAGAUAUCAGGAGGAACACCGGUGGCGAAGGCGGGUCUCUGGGCAGUAACUGACGCUGAGGAGCGAAAGCGUGGGUAGCCGAACAGGAUUAGAUACCCUGGUAGUC
This 769-nucleotide ribosomal RNA is filed under the name uncultured bacterium. RNAcentral describes it as "bacterial SSU rRNA". It matches the Rfam family "Bacterial small subunit ribosomal RNA", at positions 10 to 795 of the family's 1533-position model. The record is from RNAcentral.